AGGGUUUGAUCCUGGCUCAGGACGAACGCUGGCGGCGUGCUUAACACAUGCAAGUCGAACGAAGCAUUUUAAUGGAAGCCUUCGGGCAGAAGAUAAAAUGACUGAGUGGCGGACGGGUGAGUAACGCGUGAGCAACCUGCCCAUAAGAGGGGGAUAACAGUUGGAAACGACUGCUAAUACCGCAUAAGACCACAUUACCGCAUGGUAGAGAGGUCAAAGAAAUUCGCUUAUGGAUGGGCUCGCAUCCCAUUAGGUAGUUGGUAGGGUAAAAGCCUACCAAGCCAACGAUGGGUAGCCGACCUGAGAGGGUGAUCGGCCACACUGGAACUGAGACACGGUCCAG
This 343-nucleotide ribosomal RNA is filed under the name uncultured bacterium. RNAcentral describes it as "bacterial SSU rRNA". It matches the Rfam family "Bacterial small subunit ribosomal RNA", at positions 8 to 334 of the family's 1533-position model. The record is from RNAcentral.